UAUGUAUGUUACCACAGAACUUUCGACUGGGUGGACCGAUUUCGAAGAUUUUUUUAAUCGAUAGGUGAUACGUAUCAUGUGAUCCCAUUUAAAUUUGAUCAAGAUCUGACGAAUCAUUUCUGAGUAAUCUUUGAUAACGCGUAUUUACUUAACUUUUUUUUCGUCUUUUUAUGUUGUAUUACUGGUCGAUGUAAAUGAACUCGUUUUUUUCGUUCGCGAGAAAA
Molecule: unclassified non-coding RNA, 224 nt
Filed under: Melitaea cinxia (Glanville fritillary)
Lineage: Eukaryota; Metazoa; Arthropoda; Insecta; Lepidoptera; Nymphalidae
Description: misc RNA ENSMCXG00005007178.1
Source: RNAcentral